AUCAGAAGUGCGAAUGCUGACAUGAGUAACGACAAAGGGGGUGAAAAACCUCCUCGCCGGAAGACCAAGGGUUCCUGUCCAACGUUAAUCGGGGCAGGGUGAGUCGACCCCUAAGGUGAGGCCGAAAGGCGUAAUCGAUGGGAAACGGGUUAAUAUUCCCGUACUUCUGACUAUUGCGAUGGGGGGACGGAGAAGGCUAGGUGGGCCAGGCGACGGUUGUCCUGGUUCAAGUGCGUAGGCUUGAGAGUUAGGUAAAUCCGGCUCUCUCUAAGGCUGAGACACGACGUCGAGCUGCUACGGCAGUGAAGUCAUUGAUGCCAUGCUUCCAGGAAAAGCCUCUAAGCUUCAGAUAGUCAGGAAUCGUACCCCAAACCGACACAGGUGGUCGGGUAGAGAAUACCAAGGCGCUUGAGAGAACUCGGGUGAAGGAACUAGGCAAAAUGGUACCGUAACUUCGGGAGAAGGUACGCUCUUGAUGGUGAAGUCCCUCGCGGAUGGAGCUGACGAGAGUCGCAGAUACCAGGUGGCUGCAACUGUUUAUUAAAAACACAGCACUGUGCAAAAUCGCAAGAUGACGUAUACGGUGUGACGCCUGCCCGGUGCCGGAAGGUUAAUUGAUGGGGUUAGCGCAAGCGAAGCUCUUGAUCGAAGCCCCGGUAAACGGCGGCCGUAACUAUAACGGUCCUAAGGUAGCGAAAUUCCUUGUCGGGUAAGUUCCGACCUGCACGAAUGGCGUAAUGAUGGCCACGCUGUCUCCACCCGAGACUCAGUGAAAUUGAAAUCGCUGUGAAGAUGCAGUGUACCCGCGGCUAGACGGAAAGACCCCGUGAACCUUUACUACAGCUUGGCACUGAACAUUGAACCUACAUGUGUAGGAUAGGUGGGAGGCUAUGAAGACGUGACGCCAGUUGCGUUGGAGCCGUCCUUGAAAUACCACCCUUGUAUGUUUGAUGUUCUAACUUAGACCCGUUAUCCGGGUUGAGGACAGUGCCUGGUGGGUAGUUUGACUGGGGCGGUCUCCUCCCAAAGAGUAACGGAGGAGCACGAAGGUGGGCUAAUCACGGUUGGACAUCGUGAGGUUAGUGCAAUGGCAUAAGCCCGCUUAACUGCGAGAAUGACGGUUCGAGCAGGUGCGAAAGCAGGUCAUAGUGAUCCGGUGGUUCUGUAUGGAAGGGCCAUCGCUCAACGGAUAAAAGGUACUCCGGGGAUAACAGGCUGAUACCGCCCAAGAGUUCAUAUCGACGGCGGUGUUUGGCACCUCGAUGUCGGCUCAUCACAUCCUGGGGCUGAAGUCGGUCCCAAGGGUAUGGCUGUUCGCCAUUUAAAGUGGUACGCGAGCUGGGUUUAGAACGUCGUGAGACAGUUCGGUCCCUAUCUGCCGUGGGCGUUGGAAGAUUGAAGGGGGCUGCUCCUAGUACGAGAGGACCGGAGUGGACGAACCUCUGGUGUUCGGGUUGUGUCGCCAGACGCAUUGCCCGGUAGCUAAGUUCGGAAUUGAUAAGCGCUGAAAGCAUCUAAGCGCGAAGCGAGCC
RNAcentral lists this ribosomal RNA (1532 nucleotides) under Vibrio cholerae. RNAcentral's name for it is "partial 23S ribosomal RNA". It matches the Rfam family "Bacterial large subunit ribosomal RNA", at positions 1281 to 2798 of the family's 2925-position model. Lineage: Bacteria; Pseudomonadati; Pseudomonadota; Gammaproteobacteria; Vibrionales; Vibrionaceae. The record is from RNAcentral.